GACAUCUGCUGCUGAGCUCAUUAGAUCAGAAGGGAACUUGUACAACAGCAGGACAAAGCACAGGACAUUCCACCCUGCGCUCAGCUUCAAAGGCGGACUGGCGGAUCCUGGAAGGCUAGGUCAAGAGGCAACCUGCAGAGGUCUGCGGCAUUUUCACUUCCCAGAUCUCUCUCAGCUCUGUUCUCACCUCUGGGCAAUCACUCUGGAAACAUUCUUUUAUGGGUCGUAGUAUUUUGUGUGUGUCAAUAUUGUUAAGAGCUCUUGUCUCUUCAUGACAAAUGUGCAGGGGUGGCAGCUUCAUUAUUAGUAGCCAAGAGGAGACAGGCGGAUGGCAGUUAGUGCAUGUAUACGUCUUUUAUUGCCAUCAGCCCCAAGAAGAUAAUACCUCAGCAUGACAAGAUCAGAGUUCUUCUAAGGAGGGAAGACUUUUGAUUGAUGGCAUGAACUGUUUGGAAGCAUCCCCAGAAAGAAAUUUGGGAACUGUUAAUUCUCUUCCUGUUUCUGAUCUGAGCAUCAAUUGACUGCAAAUAAAGAGCACUAAAGUCAAUUUCGUCUCUGAAUCCCAACCUACAGAAGAUUCUCAGCAGGAUUCAGCAUUCCAAGGGAAAUUCAGCUGAAAGUUGGCAAUCAGUUCUGAUAAACUGAAGGUGCUGUUGGUGGAUGACAAAAUAAACCAUGGAGAAAGACCAUGACUGGAUUCAGACAACACUUCAAGCAAAUAAUGAUCAAGAAAAACAUGGCUGUUUU
Molecule: long non-coding RNA, 747 nt
Organism: Varanus komodoensis (Komodo dragon)
Lineage: Eukaryota; Metazoa; Chordata; Lepidosauria; Squamata; Varanidae
Exons: 3
Source: RefSeq, a predicted model, not a curated record